Molecule: ribosomal RNA, 669 nt
Filed under: Triticum aestivum (bread wheat)
Lineage: Eukaryota; Viridiplantae; Streptophyta; Magnoliopsida; Poales; Poaceae
Description: partial small subunit ribosomal RNA
Source: RNAcentral
AUGGAAUUUGCCAUAUCUGUAGUAACAAAUGAGCUCGUGACCCGAUUCAUCUCCUUCCCCACCAACAGGUAUUCAUACCAUGCAUGCUCUGACGAGAAGCGUCUGCAGAGGCUGCAGCGACUGCUCCUUAGAGUUCACACCGUCGUCGAGGAGGCGGACGGGCGGUACAUCACCAACUCUGGGAUGCUGGUACAGCUCAAGAUGCUCACGGACGCCAUGUAUCGAGGAUACUGGGCGAUGGGCGCGUUCAACUACGGAUCCCUCAAGGAGACUCUUAUGGCGGAUGAGGAGGAGGAGGAGAUGAUCUUGAGCUUCCUCUUGCAAGACAGCCCUACUGCUGCCACGCCAGCCGUUCUUCCAAUCAUUAGCGGGCUUGCGGUGGGGAAGAAAACUUUGGUUGCGCAUGUAUGCAAGGAUGAGAGGGUAUGCUCACACUUCUCUUCAAUUAUGCGCUUGAAUGAAACCGAUUUUUAUACAGUAGCGGAUAGAGGAAGUGCCAUGUCAGGGACGGGGAGGAUAUUGAUAGUUAUUGAGAUUGAUUCAGAUGUGGAUGAAAAGGAUUGGACCGCAUUUUAUUCUUAUGUGGAAAGCAUGGAUGGAAGAAGCAAAGUGAUAAUCUUAAGUAGGCUUAAAAAGAUGGAGAAAUUUUCUCAAUGUCCUGACAUAUGA